GUCAGCGGAAUCAGCCAAGCCAAUGUUCUUGGGUGAAGCAGUUUCAAAGGGGAUCAUCAACAAUGAGACUCUUGGUUACUUUAUUGGGAGGGUGUACCUUUUCCUGACACAUGUUGGUAUCGACAAACAUCGAUUGCGCUUCCGGCAGCAUCUGCCGAAUGAGAUGGCUCACUAUGCUGCGGAUUGUUGGGAUGCUGAGAUAGAGUGUUCCUAUGGCUGGAUUGAGUGUGUUGGGAUUGCUGAUAGAUCUGCUUAUGAUUUGCGUGCUCAUACGGAGAAGAGUGGUGUUGCUCUGGUUGCUCAUGAGAAGUUCGCAGAACCUAAGGAGGUUGAGAAACUUGUUGUAACUCCAUCAAAGAAGGACCUGGGUCUUGCAUUUAAGGGUAGCCAAAAGAUGGUGGUUGAAGCAUUGGAGGCAAUGAGUGAAUCUGAAGCCCUUGAAAUGCAAGCUGCUCUUGAUUCGACUGGGGAGGUGGAAUUUAAUGUCUGCACUCUUGGUAAAUCUGUUACUAUAAAGAAAAACA
This 524-nucleotide unclassified non-coding RNA is filed under the name Hevea brasiliensis (rubber tree). Lineage: Eukaryota; Viridiplantae; Streptophyta; Magnoliopsida; Malpighiales; Euphorbiaceae. The record is from RNAcentral.